GAGAGCGACGUGCGGUGAAAGUCGCAUGCGUCGUUCGGGCUGGGGGCCGCCGGAAAAGGACCCGCAC
Molecule: non-coding RNA, 67 nt
Filed under: Parafrankia sp. Ea1.12
Lineage: Bacteria; Bacillati; Actinomycetota; Actinomycetes; Frankiales; Frankiaceae
Source: RNAcentral